CAGCUCCCUGCCACCAAAGUCCUCAUCUUUUCAAAAAAUAUCUCAAGAUGCUCUGGGGGGGGAGUUCUUUGUCCUUUUUUUGUAUCCCCCCAAGAAGCCAGCAGGUUUUCUCCCACUUCCCCACUGAGCUCUGGAGCUGCUGCAGCCAAAACAGCAAAUCCUUGUGGAUUUGCCAUGGUUUCUGGGCAUCUCCUUGAUGCUUUUCACCCAGUCACUGCAGGUACAAAGCCUGACACGGCCACAGCCCCUUCCCCUCCAUUCCUCACAGCCCAUUUUGGAGAGAUGCUGACUUGGGCUGCCCUCUCGUUCCAGCACCCGUGGAGCUGCCCCACGUUUCCCCCUGCACGCUCCCUGCUCAGCCUCAGCGUCCCCCUCGGCAUUUCGGCAGGAGCCGUCCCCAGGCGAGGUGCCUCCGUGAACACCCAAGGAACCCAGACCCUUACACAUCCCAGUGCAGGAGUGAGAGACUCAAGCCAGCAGACAGACUGUGGAAUAGCAGUUUUAAAUAAGGAAAUAGUGCAGUUGUCCAGCUACCUGAAGGUACGUACCAGAUGUUGUUAAGUACCCACUGGGAAAGCAGGUCUUCAGCAAGUACAACAAUACUUUUAAAAUUAUUGUUAUUAUUAUUAAAUGAAGGGGUGUUACAUGCCCAAUUUUAAUGUGGCCAAAAAGCCUACGGAUAAGCCACUGAACUCAAAGACCUGCCUGAACCCCCCCGAGAGGCAGAAGCCCUGACCCCGC
RNAcentral lists this long non-coding RNA (741 nucleotides) under Buteo japonicus. RNAcentral's name for it is "lncRNA (ENSBJAG00000015096.1)". Lineage: Eukaryota; Metazoa; Chordata; Aves; Accipitriformes; Accipitridae. The record is from RNAcentral.